RNAcentral lists this ribosomal RNA (375 nucleotides) under Dampetrinae gen. sp. RNAcentral's name for it is "partial large subunit ribosomal RNA". It matches the Rfam family "Bacterial large subunit ribosomal RNA", at positions 1833 to 2600 of the family's 2925-position model. Lineage: Eukaryota; Metazoa; Arthropoda; Arachnida; Opiliones; Assamiidae. The record is from RNAcentral.
GUUAUUUGGUGUAUAAAUAAUAAUGUCUGCUCAAUGUUAAAUAGCCGCGAAAUUAUGUUCGUGCGAAGGUAGCGUAAUUAGUUGCCUUUUGAUUGAAGGCUUGUAUGAAAGGUAUAACUGGGUGAAAGGUUUUGUAGAUCGAAAUUAAGUUGAUUAUAAUAAUGUAGUCAUUAAUCUUUGGGACGAUAAGUCCCUAGAAGCUUGAGGAAUCUUUUAGUUGGGGUGAUUGAGGAAUAAAUGGAACUUUGUUUAAGUUACUCUAGGGUUAACAGCGUUAUUAAAAUUUGAAGUUCGGAUUUGAAUUAUAGUUUGCGACCUCGAUGUUGAAUUAAGAGGCGAAGGGGCUUUAGACUGUUCGUCUAUUAAAUACUUACA